This 400-nucleotide ribosomal RNA is filed under the name Astrosyne radiata. Its description in RNAcentral is "partial Bacterial small subunit ribosomal RNA". It matches the Rfam family "Bacterial small subunit ribosomal RNA", at positions 339 to 731 of the family's 1533-position model. The record is from RNAcentral. Lineage: Eukaryota; Bacillariophyta; Fragilariophyceae; Cyclophorales; Cyclophoraceae.
CUACGGGAGGCAGCAGUAGGGAAUCUUCCACAAUGGACGCAAGUCUGAUGGAGCAACGCCGCGUGAGUGAAGAAGGGUUUCGGCUCGUAAAGCUCUGUUGUUGGUGAAGAAGGACAGGGGUAGUAACUGACCUUUGUUUGACGGUAAUCAAUUAGAAAGUCACGGCUAACUACGUGCCAGCAGCCGCGGUAAUACGUAGGUGGCAAGCGUUAUCCGGAAUUAUUGGGCGUAAAGCGCGCGCAGGCGGUCCUUUAAGUCUGAUGUGAAAUUCCGCGGCUCAACCGCGGGUGUGCAUUGGAAACUGGGGGACUUGAGUGCGGAAGAGGGGAGCGGAAUUCCCGGUGUAGCGGUGAAAUGCGUAGAGAUGGGAAGGAACAUCAGUGGCGAAGGCGACUCACUG